This 119-nucleotide non-coding RNA is filed under the name Paenibacillus sp. P22. Its description in RNAcentral is "Glycine riboswitch". It matches the Rfam family "Glycine riboswitch aptamer". From Rfam's summary of the family: This family represents the bacterial glycine riboswitch. Glycine riboswitches usually consist of two metabolite-binding aptamers domains with similar structures in tandem. The record is from RNAcentral. Lineage: Bacteria; Bacillati; Bacillota; Bacilli; Caryophanales; Paenibacillaceae.
GGACGCAUCUCUGGAGAGAAUUCCGUGGCCGCGCACAGGCGCGCAUGGAAUCACCCAAGGGGAAACUCGCGGAGCGGGAAGCGAGGCAACUCUCAGGUACAAAGGACAGAGCGGAAGAA